Molecule: unclassified non-coding RNA, 314 nt
Filed under: Hevea brasiliensis (rubber tree)
Lineage: Eukaryota; Viridiplantae; Streptophyta; Magnoliopsida; Malpighiales; Euphorbiaceae
Source: RNAcentral
AAAAAAAAAAAAACUAUUCUAAAUAUUAAUGUCUUAAAAAUAUUCUACAUUCCAAAUUCUAACCAGAAACGACAUCCAAAUAAAACUAGAGAUACUAAUAAGCACUCAAUAGCUUUAUAUGUCCCUCCCUAUGUAGCUUUUUUCAUAAAAGUUACAAAUAACAUUAUUUGUAUGGGGAGGAUUCAAUAUGCUUACAUAUUUCCAUCCGGGACCUUUUUACCAUUAGCACUUUUAGAAGUGCUAGAAAUUUGACAUCCAUAUCUUAUGCCAUCAGAUAGGGGUGAGCGCUAUUCGGUUUAAACUGAAAAACCGAA